This 459-nucleotide ribosomal RNA is filed under the name uncultured bacterium. RNAcentral's name for it is "partial 16S ribosomal RNA". It matches the Rfam family "Bacterial small subunit ribosomal RNA", at positions 338 to 795 of the family's 1533-position model. The record is from RNAcentral.
CCUACGGGAUGCAGCAGUGAGGGAUAUUGGUCAAUGACCGAGAGGCUGAACCAGCCAAGUCGCGUGAGGGAAGACGGCCCUACGGGUUGUAAACCUCUUUUGUCGGGGAGCAAAGCGAACCACGUGUGGUUCAUUGAGAGUACCCGAAGAAAAAGCAUCUGCUAACUCAGUGCCAGCAGCCGCGGUAAUACGGAGGAUGCGAGCGUUAUCCGGAUUUAUUGGGUUUAAAGGGUGCGCAGGCGGAGGUGCAAGUCAGCGGUCAAAUUGCGGGGCUCAAACCCGUACUGCCGUUGAAACUGCAUCCCUUGAGUGAGCGAGAAGUAUGCGGAAUGCGUGGUGUAGCGGUGAAAUGCAUAGAUAUCACGCAGAACUCCGAUUGCGAAGGCAGCAUACCGGCGCGCAACUGACGCUCAUGCACGAAAGCGUGGGUAUCGAACAGGAUUAGAUACCCUAGUAGUC